RNAcentral lists this ribosomal RNA (440 nucleotides) under uncultured bacterium. RNAcentral describes it as "partial 16S ribosomal RNA". It matches the Rfam family "Bacterial small subunit ribosomal RNA", at positions 338 to 795 of the family's 1533-position model. The record is from RNAcentral.
CCUACGGGUGGCAGCAGUGGGGAAUAUUGCACAAUGGGGGAAACCCUGAUGCAGCGACGCCGCGUGAGGGAGGAAGGAUUUCGGUAUGUAAAGCUCUAUCAGCAGGGAAGAAAAUGACGGUACCUGACUAAGACGCCCCGGCUAACUACGUGCCAGCAGCCGCGGUAAUACGUAGGGGGCAAGCGUUAUCCGGAUUUACUGGGUGUAAAGGGUGCGUAGACGGUUAAUCAAGUCAGAAGUGAAAACCCCGGGCUCAACCUUGGGACUGCUUUUGAAACUGAGUAGCUAGAGAGCAGGUGUGGUAGGCGGAAUUCCUAGUGUAGCGGUGAAAUGCGUAGAUAUUAGGAGGAACACCAGUGGCGAAGGCGGCUUACUGGACUGUAACUGACGUUGAGGCUCGAAAGCGUGGGGAGCAAACAGGAUUAGAUACCCCUGUAGUC